AGAAAAGAUAUUCAACGCAGGAGUAACAGAAGUAUAUUAUCCAUAAUCGGUUACUGGGUAAGGAGAUAACAUGAUCCGACAGGGAAUACAUCCGUUACCGGUUAGGGUAAACAUAUCAAAGAUGACUCACUGAGGGCAAAAGAAGGUGUAUUCAUUACCAGCUACUAGGUAAGAAUAACCUGUCGGGGAAGAGCCCAAAU
RNAcentral lists this long non-coding RNA (200 nucleotides) under Lathyrus oleraceus (garden pea). RNAcentral's name for it is "Pisum sativum (pea) long non-coding RNA (PSAT_LNC026679)". Lineage: Eukaryota; Viridiplantae; Streptophyta; Magnoliopsida; Fabales; Fabaceae. The record is from RNAcentral.